CGUUGGUUCUCUCGCGACGAUAGUUUGCAAACCCCGCCAGGGCCGGAAGGCAGCAACGGUAGUGAAUGACUCGGGUGCCGGGAUGCGGCUGGCGGGA
This 97-nucleotide signal recognition particle RNA is filed under the name Pseudomonadota bacterium. RNAcentral's name for it is "Proteobacteria bacterium (activated sludge metagenome) signal recognition particle sRNA small type". It matches the Rfam family "Bacterial small signal recognition particle RNA". Rfam says of the family: The signal recognition particle (SRP) is a universally conserved ribonucleoprotein involved in the co-translational targeting of proteins to membranes. Archaeal SRP consists of a 7S RNA and homologues of the eukaryotic SRP19 and SRP54 proteins. In most bacteria, the SRP consists of a 4.5S RNA and the Ffh protein (a homologue of the eukaryotic SRP54 protein). Lineage: Bacteria; Pseudomonadati; Pseudomonadota. RNAcentral also lists the same sequence under 1 other name. The record is from RNAcentral.